GUAUUUUUAGAGACAUCCUAUAAAAUUGGAAUGAUACAGAAGAUUAGCAUAGCCUGCACAAGGUUGACACGUUUAUUCUCUCUAGCUUCCUGCUUUAA
Small nuclear RNA from Pistacia vera, 98 nucleotides. NCBI's taxonomy places the organism in Eukaryota, Viridiplantae, Streptophyta, Magnoliopsida, Sapindales, Anacardiaceae. The record is from RefSeq and is a predicted model, not a curated record.